GAGGUGGGAGGAAGAGAAGAAAAGCAUUAUUGAAACACUUUGGAGAUACCCAAGGUUGUUUUAUGGCCAAAGCAAAGCACUGACAGCAUGUUUCUGAAGGAUGUUGUUUUUCAGGCACUACGGCAAUGCUGGGAAUGAUGGGACAAGUCAAAAGCACUUCAUGCUUGCUACACUGCAAAAUGUGGAUAACAGAACAACCCAGCAUCUAGUCAGCCAGGAAUCUGAGCGUUGAAAAAAAAUAUAAGUAAGCCCCCUUUCUAUUUCUUCCGCAAACAAAACUAUUUAUAGAUCAACAAAUACACUUUAGUAGAUUGA
Long non-coding RNA from Lacerta agilis (Sand lizard), 315 nucleotides. RefSeq lists it as uncharacterized. The transcript is spliced from 2 exons. The record is from RefSeq and is a predicted model, not a curated record. Lineage: Eukaryota; Metazoa; Chordata; Lepidosauria; Squamata; Lacertidae.